GCUCACGUAGCUCAGUAGGUAGAGCGUCGCCUUGGUAAGGCGGAGGUUGUCGGUUCAAUCCCGAUCGCGAGCUCCA
This 76-nucleotide transfer RNA is filed under the name Clostridium botulinum. RNAcentral describes it as "tRNA-Thr". It matches the Rfam family "tRNA". Rfam says of the family: Transfer RNA (tRNA) molecules are approximately 80 nucleotides in length. Their secondary structure includes four short double-helical elements and three loops (D, anti-codon, and T loops). Lineage: Bacteria; Bacillati; Bacillota; Clostridia; Eubacteriales; Clostridiaceae. The record is from RNAcentral. RNAcentral also lists the same sequence under 1 other name.